RNAcentral lists this ribosomal RNA (352 nucleotides) under uncultured bacterium. RNAcentral's name for it is "bacterial SSU rRNA". It matches the Rfam family "Bacterial small subunit ribosomal RNA", at positions 160 to 507 of the family's 1533-position model. The record is from RNAcentral.
GGAUUAAUACCUCAUAGUAUAGUACCUUGGCAUCAAGGAACUAAUUAAAGUCACAACGGACAAAAGAUGAGCAUGCGUCCCAUUAGCUAGUUGGUAAGGUAACGGCUUACCAAGGCCACGAGUGGGUAGGGGUCCUGAGAGGGAGAUCCCCCACACUGGUACUGAGACACGGACCAGACUCCUACGGGAGGCAGCAGUGAGGAAUAUUGGACAAUGGGCGCAAGCCUGAUCCAGCCAUGCCGCGUGCAGGAUGACGGUCCUAUGGAUUGUAAACUGCUUUUAUACAGGAAGAAACACUGGUUCGUGAACCAGCUUGACGGUACUGCAAGAAUAAGGAUCGGCUAACUCCGUG